RNAcentral lists this long non-coding RNA (838 nucleotides) under Homo sapiens (human). Its description in RNAcentral is "non-protein coding lnc-RETREG3-1:1". Lineage: Eukaryota; Metazoa; Chordata; Mammalia; Primates; Hominidae. The record is from RNAcentral.
GGCAGAAGCUGCGGCGGGAGGUAACGGCGCCGUGGGCGCGGGGAAGACCCGGGAGGGCAGUGGGUGAGGAGGUCGGUUGAGUGGCCCCCUCCCCUGCCUUUCUCUCCGUAGCCGCCGGGAUCCUCCUGAGGUACCUGCAGGAGCAGAACCGGCCCUACAGCUCCCAGGAUGUGUUCGGGAACCUACAGCGGGAACACGGACUGGGCAAGGCGGUGGUGGUGAAGACGCUGGAGCAGCUGGCGCAACAAGGCAAGAUCAAAGAGAAGAUGUACGGCAAGCAGAAGAUCUAUUUUGCGGAUCAGGUGAGGAGAACUUGCGCCGAUUGUCACCCAUGAGAGCCCGACAACGGGUGAAUCUACUCCUGGUGUGAACUCUUUGGGGACAAGGCCCCCCAUGGAAAACUCACCUGUCUUAGGCCACCAUCCUUAAAUCAAGGUGUGUACUCCUCUUGUUAGGAUCCCAACUUCACGAGGUUUCCAGAUUUACAAUAUGAUGGAUGACAGAAGAUUCUGUAUUGUUGCUACCAAGAUCCAUUUCCGCUCCAAAGCUCUUAUUCCUUAUCAUCUACAUUAGCAACACCCUCUGCCAAAUGAUGUUCCUCCUGCCUCCAUCCGAUUCUCUAAACACACAUAUCAAAUUUAUAUUCUCCAGCCCAGACCUCCAGCUGGAAUCUGUCAGGCAUUAAUAUCAGAGUCAAAAUUGCCACAGUAGAAUGCCUCAUCUUCCCCCCACCCCGGACUGGUUUCUUUCUAACAUUCUCCUCCCCUAAUGGAAUUACUCUUCACCCAAACCAGAAAUUGGGAGCAAUUCUUGACUUCCUUUACUAGUCAACCAUCAA